Carassius auratus (goldfish) is the source of this 693-nucleotide long non-coding RNA. RefSeq lists it as uncharacterized. The record is from RefSeq and is a predicted model, not a curated record. NCBI's taxonomy places the organism in Eukaryota, Metazoa, Chordata, Actinopteri, Cypriniformes, Cyprinidae. The transcript is spliced from 5 exons.
UAUAGCUCCCAGUCACAUGUGCUGCAAUCUUAGGCCGAGGGGAAUCGUCUUGAUCUUGGAUCACCAAAGAGGGAAGUACACGUGAGACUUCGUCUGUUAAAAGCCAUAAGAAAGAAACAUCUGAAGUGAAAAGUCUCUGUUUGAGUUCCACUGAAGACAGAUGGAUGUAAAACAACAUGAGGCCGAGGAAACUGUGAAGACGGAAAGGGGUGUAGACUUGGAAGAACAUGAGGGAAAAUGGGAGGCCUGGCUUCGUGCAAGCAACUACCCUUUAAUUCAGGAAGCAAUGAACAAUGUGAAAGAUAACAUUCCUCCAAGCGCUAGGUGCCAUAAUAAUCUACAUGGGAUUUGAGACGUUGGCAUGAAAAACUCUUCCUGAAGGCAAAUCAUGCAAAGUUUGAAAAUGUGUAUCGGGUUAUGUAGCUGCUGGGAACAGGAACUGCCUCGCACUUUGCCACCUAGCUUCUUGAGAUCAAGUUUGCCCGUGUGACAUGAGCUGUCACACUCUUGAGUAGGUUCACAUAAAAACAUUUUUCAGUUUCUCUGUCAAUGCACGAAUGAUAACAGGUUAUUCCGGUCAGCAGGAUAAUCUCAGUUCGGCCUGCAGGCUAACGCUGCCUGUGUUCACUUAAAGAGUUAGCAAUUCACCCUUCUGUCACAGUCACAAUAAAAAAAAUCUUUGGAAAGCAAAAA